Molecule: unclassified non-coding RNA, 1162 nt
Filed under: Rhizobium leguminosarum
Lineage: Bacteria; Pseudomonadati; Pseudomonadota; Alphaproteobacteria; Hyphomicrobiales; Rhizobiaceae
Description: partial contains 16S ribosomal RNA, 16S-23S ribosomal RNA intergenic spacer, and 23S ribosomal RNA
Rfam family: tRNA (bases 318-391)
Source: RNAcentral
GGUAGACGAUCGGCUGGAUCUUCGGAUCUCCCCGAUAUGAACCUUCCCGUGCUUUUUAGAACAUAGAUGGCACCAGUCAGGUGACUAUCGAAACGUAAUACGCCGCGAUGACCUCGGUCACGACGGUAUGGCGAGCUUUCGCCGUCCACGUUUCUCUUUCUUCAAAAGGAUAUCGAACCAUGGGUUUGCGCUCGCGCGCUGUUCGCACCUUCGGUGCUGCGCUCCGCGAGGGCGCCGGACGACCGGCGACGGCCUCUGGCCUGUAUGGGCGACCCUUUCCGAGGUUUUGCUUAGGAUUGGCGUCGACGCAGAGAGAUGGGCCCGUAGCUCAGUUGGUUAGAGCACACGCUUGAUAAGCGUGGGGUCGGAAGUUCAAGUCUUCCCGGGCCCACCAUUUGCACCAGCAAAUGAGGUUUGCUGUAGCGAAUUGUGGUUUGUUUGGGUUUACCUGAUCCUGGCGGUUUGCUGUCAGGUGUUUGCGAUGGUUGGGGCUGUAGCUCAGCUGGGAGAGCACCUGCUUUGCAAGCAGGGGGUCAGCGGUUCGAUCCCGCUCAGCUCCACCAAUUCGCUUGGUGUCGAGACUGAGAGAGAUAUCCUUUGAAGAAAUAAAAGUUUUGCAUCGGCUUAUGGCUGGUGCUUGUUCUGCAUACAUUGUGAAGAGAAGAUUGAUCUGGAGGCUUCCAGGUGUCGGGUUCUGCCCUCUGGGUUAAACUUGCCGUCCGAGCCCAGUUCUGAUGAUCCCAUGGAUGGCCUAGCCGGCCGGAUAUGGGUGAAGGACUGGAGGUAGGUAGGAAGCUUGUCACUCUGGAUCGUUUGUUGUUCGUUGCCUUUGGGCAUCGUGCUGAUGAACGAUCGGAUUACCGUUGCUCGACCGCGCGGUAUCGGAUCAUAUCUCGAGAAGCUGGUCUUAAGACAGGCUGCAAGCGAGCUGCUCGGUGUAGCUCCAAUAAAGCAGCCCUGUCGAACACGUUAAUGGCAUUGUUGGAUUGAUUGGGUUGUAAAAGGUAACCCGGUCAGUGGCCGCUCCAUAUGGAGCGGGCAACGAGACGAUGAGCAUUGGCAAUGAGAACGAUUAAGUGUCGUAAGGGCAUUUGGUGGAUGCCUUGGCAUGCACAGGCGAUGAAGGACGUGAUACGCUGCGAAAAGCCGUGGGAGCUGCGAA